GACGAACGCUGGCGGCGUGCUUAACACAUGCAAGUCGAACGUGAUUUUUGUGGAAAUUCUUUCGGGAAUGGAAAUGAGAUGAAAGUGGCGAACGGGUGAGUAACACGUGAGCAACCUACCUUACACAGGGGGAUAGCCGUUGGAAACGACGAUUAAUACCGCAUGAGACCACAGAAUCGCAUGAUAUAGGGGUCAAAGAUUUAUCGGUGUAAGAAGGGCUCGCGUCUGAUUAGCUAGUUGGAAGGGUAAAGGCCUACCAAGGCGACGAUCAGUAGCCGGUCUGAGAGGAUGAACGGCCACAUUGGAACUGAGACACGGUCCAAACUCCUACGGGAGGCAGCAGUGGGGAAUAUUGCACAAUGGGGGGAACCCUGAUGCAGCGACGCCGCGUGAGCGAAGAAGGUUUUCGAAUCGUAAAGCUCUGUCCUAUGAGAAGAUAAUGACGGUAUCAUAGGAGGAAGCCCCGGCUAAAUACGUG
This 478-nucleotide ribosomal RNA is filed under the name uncultured bacterium. RNAcentral's name for it is "partial 16S ribosomal RNA". It matches the Rfam family "Bacterial small subunit ribosomal RNA", at positions 28 to 507 of the family's 1533-position model. The record is from RNAcentral.